UGGUUCUUGCUGCCUUUCGUUCCCCUAACCCCACCAGCGAAACUUUCCGGUGUGAUGGUUCCACGAGGGCUCCCCCAGGUGCUGAAAGAAGAAUGCUUGACCCGGAGAACGGCCUGCCUGGUUUCGGAGAGCCAAGGCCUCGCAUACCUAUGCAGGGGCAACGCACGCAGGGCAUGCGCGAUGGGGGAACGCACAUGCACGUGACCUAGUGGGGCUACCUUCGAGCUCGGAGGGGAACAUUUGGUGACUUGAACAUGAGCUGAAGAGGGGAUGUGAGUGACCUGUGUGUAGCAGUGCCCAGGAGGCCAGAGUACUGUCAGCCAAGGAGAUCUGCAGCCCUUUUGUUGGACCUGGUGGGUUUGAUCAGAAUCUACUCUGCUUGGAGACUGCGAAGGCAGCAGAAGAGCAGAAAGCCCAGGAUGUGGGGCUGAGGAACUUGCCCCAGAACAGCCAGGAAGUGGUCCUAGGAAGGUCACCUUUGAGCAGAGGACCUCCCAUCUCCAGCCACUGAGCCACUCUGUAAACCCACAGGAGAGGGAGUGGGGAAGAAAGGACAAAAUAUUAGGUGCUAUUAGAGUCAAUACUAAGUAUUGGCAUACUUGUUAACAGUUUGGUGGUGCCAGUUAGGGAAGUGGGAGAAGAAGAAGACAGUGGUCACAGGGUGGUUGAGGCCUGCGUGUAUCUGAAAAGCCAGUGGUGGGAGUAGAAGGUAGCCAUCUUAAGCAGUGUUCAGUAGUGCUACUCUUAUCAAUAAGAAAAUGACCCAUUCUGAAGGGGAGGGGUUGCUUUUAAAGGAAAAGUUCUAAAAAUAUUUUCUAAAGGAAUACAGAGAGAAAGCUGCUAGUUACCAUAGCUUUUGCAGGCAAUUUGGAUAUAUAGUUUAUACUUUUUUUCUUUAUAAUGAUACCAGACUGUUUUGGUUUUUUUUAACCUCUAUGAUCAUGGGGCAGCUGGG
Gracilinanus agilis (Agile Gracile Mouse Opossum) is the source of this 955-nucleotide long non-coding RNA. RefSeq lists it as uncharacterized. Lineage: Eukaryota; Metazoa; Chordata; Mammalia; Didelphimorphia; Didelphidae. The transcript has 4 exons. The record is from RefSeq and is a predicted model, not a curated record.